This is a long non-coding RNA of Saccostrea cuccullata (small rock oyster), 1426 nucleotides long. RefSeq lists it as uncharacterized. The record is from RefSeq and is a predicted model, not a curated record. The transcript has 3 exons. Lineage: Eukaryota; Metazoa; Mollusca; Bivalvia; Ostreida; Ostreidae.
AUUCAAGGCCAAAAAAAAUUAAUAAAUUGUUUCUCAGGCACCGCCGCAUCGGUAAAAUCAGAGCCGCAUCAACUUUUUUUACCAUUAUAUUUUUUCCGGAAUUUUCGUAUCUUAUCGUUAUAGGUUUUUUCUUUUAUCCAAACAAUAACAAACGCUUAAGUGACUCGGAAUAAAAUGAAAGUCUAUGUCAAUAAAAACGUGAUUUUUCGCGGGAUAUAUCGAUCAUGUCGCUGUUAUCAGCUCAGAUUGUGAGUGGAACGUCCAUAAUAUUACCAUGGAGUAUAAUUGGGGGGUAUAGCGACAGUUGUUCAGUGGGGGAAUUUUACGAAGACCUGAAACGUGGCAAGUUGGACUUGGAAUUUUUCACUUUCCCAGAAAAGUUGUUAAUCCCCUUGUACUGUAGAAGUCGGUCGCUCUAAAACAGAUUCAUUUGAUCGUGUUAUGCCUUCAGUGCGCUUAUCAGAAGUAGUGUCUCUAUUCGGACGUUACAUAAGAUUUACAGCCAGAGUUAAAAGCCUUUUUAGAACAUUGUACUACAUCCAGGUCUUACUCCUUUUGCAUUAAAAAAUGUGCUGAUCCAAGUUGUUCCAUCUGUACUAGGCCACGCUUGCCUCCUGAGGUUUUUGAGCAGUUACAUCGAUUUCCAGACCCAAUACUGAGUACCUGGUGAAGAUGGGCACUACAAGUCAUUUGAUGAAGUUUAUGGUAGUGAAACUACGGAGGAGCACAGGCCAUCUCUUCAGCGAAGGGCUACAGCGAAUCCAGGUCAUGGGAUACCAUUUUCCCCAAGUGUGCAAGCAGCAAAAACAGUAAAGUGUGUGUUUAUUUGUACAGAAUGUGAAAAACCUUGUGUAGUAUAUGCUGCUAACAAAUUGUCAGAGCAGGAAAUGGCCACUAUAGAGCGCAUUCAGCAGUUAAUUCAAUAUACGUGUGGGUCAUCCCUGCAAGAACUUAAGACUGCCGAUAACAGAACACCACAAGUGAAUGCUUUAUUAGACAAAUGUUUCACCAGGGCCAACUCAACAUGUGAAAUGUCAUUAGAAGUUCCAUAUUUCAGUUCAGGAUGUUUCAAGGACUUGUGUUUUCACUGUGGUGAGGAAGAUGAGCUGCAAAUGAAGCAGGGGCAUAUCCCAUGUGUCUUAAUUGUUCCUCUACAAAAACUCUUCCUUUGAAAAGGAAACAUGUUAAUCUUAAAGAAACUGUUAAAACAAAGACAAGAAGGAAAUAAACUGUGCUUUUGUAUUUGAUUAAUGAAUAUGCUAUUAAAUACACAAUAAAAAAGUAACACAACAAGCUAUUUCUAAAUUUGAUGCCUUUAUUUGAAAUUUAUUAAAAAAAAAAAAAAAAAAAAAAAAAAAACCUGCCUGCCUCAUCAAAAUUUUAAAAAUUUGGCCCGAGAAACAAUUAAUUAAUUUUUUUUGGCCUA